GAUGAACGCUGGCGGCGUGCCUAAUACAUGCAAGUCGAGCGAACGGACGAGAAGCUUGCUUCUCUGAUGUUAGCGGCGGACGGGUGAGUAACACGUGGAUAACCUACCUAUAAGACUGGGAUAACUUCGGGAAACCGGAGCUCAUACCGGAUAAUAUUUUGAACCGCAUGGUUCAAAAGUGAAAGACGGUCUUGCUGUCACUUAUAGAUGGAUCCGCGCUGCAUUAGCUAGUUGGUAAGGUAACGGCUUACCAAGGCAACGAUGCAUAGCCGACCUGAGAGGGUGAUCGGCCACACUGGAACUGAGACACGGUCCAGACUCCUACGAGAGGCAGCAGUAGGGAAUCUUCCGCAAUGGGCGAAAGCCUGACGGAGCAACGCCGCGUGAGUGAUGAAGGUCUUCGGAUCGUAAAACUCUGUUAUUAGGAAAGAACAUAUGUGUAAGUAACUGUGCACAUCUUGACGGUACCUAAUCAGAAAGCCACGGCUAACUACGUG
RNAcentral lists this ribosomal RNA (497 nucleotides) under uncultured bacterium. RNAcentral's name for it is "partial 16S ribosomal RNA". It matches the Rfam family "Bacterial small subunit ribosomal RNA", at positions 28 to 507 of the family's 1533-position model. The record is from RNAcentral.